This 253-nucleotide ribosomal RNA is filed under the name uncultured bacterium. RNAcentral's name for it is "partial 16S ribosomal RNA". It matches the Rfam family "Bacterial small subunit ribosomal RNA", at positions 524 to 776 of the family's 1533-position model. The record is from RNAcentral.
UACGUAGGGUGCGAGCGUUGUCCGGAAUUAUUGGGCGUAAAGGGCUCGUAGGCGGUUUGUCGCGUCGGGAGUGAAAACCUCGGGCUUAACUCGGGGCUUGCUUUCGAUACGGGCAGACUAGAGGUAUGCAGGGGAGAACGGAAUUCCCGGUGUAGCGGUGAAAUGCGCAGAUAUCGGGAGGAACACCGGUGGCGAAGGCGGUUCUCUGGGCCUGACCUGACGCUGAGGAGCGAAAGCGUGGGGAGCGAACAGG